GCUCUUGCGGUACAUGUGACAACUGUCCUCAUCUGCAUAUGGACAGGUACGCUAUGGUGAGCGUGGUAGAGAAGUUACCGGGCUGGCACCGUGUGAAUGGAGUUUUAAAGAUCGUCGAGAAAUCUCCCAAGUAGCCCUAAGACAUCGUUAGUCUACAGCAAGAGGACUACUAUUUCAUACCGCCCAUUGACUUCGGAAAAUAGCUCAUUGUAAUCAACAGAGACAGGCACCGUCAGUCUGGCUGCUGUGUCCCCAUUGGUCCAGAUGUGAGAGCAGAGACCAGCAGUGUCACCUCUAACCCUCAGGGCCCGUCGUCAUGAAAAUGGUGUUGUCGUUACCAAGGCCACCGUGGGGGUUGUGGUCUGUGUUAGUCCCAGGCCUGACCUUACUGCUGUGCCUGGCCCUGGUCCUGAUGGGCUGUGUGAUCAGGAAGAAGAGAAGGAUGGAGGGAAUGUAUCGGCCCAGUGCGGAGGAGAGCAAACAGACAGGACCACGGGGGGCUGAGAGACCAGGCCUGCCCCUGCCCAAGGAGGAGAGACUCAUCUGAUACCUGCACUCUAGCCUGGACUCUACACACACACACAAACUCUCUUUUCCUCCCUCUCUCUCUCACUACCAUUGCCUCACUCUCCUCUACCCUGUACAUGAAGCCAGAAUGGGUUAUUAGUAAUUAUGUAUUGUGUUGUGUAAAGUUAUUUGUAGAUGAAGUGUCUUGUUAAAUAUGCCUGAACAUGCCUGGUGGAUGUGCGAUGUCCUCUCCAGUUUCUCCAACUGUGCUGAUGUUGACAUCAGUGUGUCAACCGGUGAAUGCUGAAUGCCCUGUCAGGGGUGUGUUGUUUACCUGUAGGUGGACUAGUUGUUGACAUGUUUACCUUUAGGUGGACUAGUUGUUGACAUGUUUACCUGUAGGUGGACUAGUUGUUUACCUGUAGGUGGACUAGUUGUUGACAUGUUUACCUGUAGGUGGACUAGUUGUUUACCUGUAGGUGGACUAGUUGUUUACCUGUAGGUGGACUAGUUGUUGACCAUACAGAGAAAAGGGAAUUUUUAAAAGUUCCUCUAUAUGCAAAAUGUCUCUUUAUUGUGGCAGUUAUACUGUUACAUGUGUACAAACUAUGAUUUAAGUGUAUCCCGUGUAUAAAAACAUUAGUGUGGGUGUUUUUUAUAUCUUGAAAAUGAAGAGAAGAAUGGUAAAGACACUAUGAAUGAUUUCUAAUGCACUUCUGAUGAUAUUAUCCAUGUGAGAACAAUAACACGCCUCUCAAAAAGUAUUAAACUUCCAUUUAUUCAGUUUAAUAUCAUCCUGGAGAAGAAUAUUUGAUUUAGUAAAAAAAUCUUCAAGUGUGUAUUCAGUGCAUUGAGUUGAUGUGUUCAUGUUCCACAAGCGCCACCUGCUGGUCAUCUACAGACAAUACAACCAGCGACAUCAGUCAGGGAUUGGACAGAACUGGUUCCUGAAUGUCAUGUGACAUGAUCAGUGGUGUAUUCAACAGUGGUGUGAAGUUCUUAAGUAAACAAUACUUUCAAGUACUACUUAAGUUUUUUUUUUGGUAUCAAAACAUUACUUUACUAUUUUUUGACAACUUUUACUUCACUACAUUCUUUAAGAAAAUAAUGUACUUUUUACUCCGUACAUUUUUUGCCCUGACACCCAAACGUACUUGUUACAUUCUGACAGGAAAAUGGUCCAAUUCACGCGCUUAUCAAGAGGACGUCCUUGUUCAUCCCUACUACCGGAUCUUGCCGACUCGCUAAACACAAAUGCUUCGUUUGUAAAUUAUGUCUGAUUGUUCCCCUGGUAUCUGUAAAUGUAGAUAUUUUAAAACAGAAAAUGGUGCCGUCUGGUUUGCUUAACACAAGGAAUGUUUAAUUAUUUGUACUUUUACUUUUUAUGCUUAAGUACAUUUUUUUCCAUUACAUUGACUUUUAAUACUUUAUUUAAAAAUAAAUACUUUUAGACUUUUACUCAAGUAGUAUUUUACUGGGUGGUUUUCACUUUUACCUGAGUCAUUUUCUAUUAAGGUAUCUUUACUUUUACUCAAGUAUGACAAUUUGGUACUUUUUCCACAACUGAUAUUCAAUAGUCGCACAAUGUAGCUAAAUGUUUAGCGUUGUAUCAAAACGUUUUGCAAUGGUAACCGUUUAAUCCAAACUGAAAAUAUUUUCCUACAAAAUUGAGAGUUUCUAUUGGAAAUAUUGCAAUAUAUCUCGUUCGGUUCCGUUUGCGUCCAAGUGAAUACACCCUGGGAAAAACUUCUGGCCUUUAUGCAUUACAUCAUAGACCUGUAAAAGAACGUUACAGAAUGUUCAGAUAGAAGUGUAUGGUGUAGAACCGGAAUUACUGUCUGUCGGUUAGAAUAUGGGAUUGUCAAUUCUAUUCAUUCUAUUUCUACUU
This is a non-coding RNA of Oncorhynchus mykiss (rainbow trout), 2395 nucleotides long. NCBI's taxonomy places the organism in Eukaryota, Metazoa, Chordata, Actinopteri, Salmoniformes, Salmonidae. The record is from RefSeq and is a predicted model, not a curated record.